Puma concolor (puma) is the source of this 653-nucleotide non-coding RNA. Lineage: Eukaryota; Metazoa; Chordata; Mammalia; Carnivora; Felidae. The record is from RefSeq and is a predicted model, not a curated record.
UUCUCUACCCUCCUGGCCUCUCAGCCUCUGCUGUUCUUCUCCCUGUACGGCAUCAAAAAAGAGCCUGCAGCUUUCAGCACCACUGAGGACCAUAAUGCACAUGCAGUUAAUGGAUUCAACUCUUAUUUCCAUUUCAUCUCUCCUUUCCCUCCUGGAUGAUGCAUCACAGUACUGUUUCCACCAGACCCAAGCUCAAAAUUGAAAUCGGUGUUGGCCUCUGGCGACUGGAAUGAAAAGGAAGCUAUAUGCAGCCUCUUCCCAACCCCAAAUCUCUACCAUUUGGUCCGCGACUUGCACGCUGGACUAAGUGCGCCAUCAUCUGUUGCCUGGGUUUACGACAAUAAAUAGUCUCGUGGAAGGCCCUCGGCAUCUCCUUUUCUUCCACGGUCUACUUUCAACAAAGGAGCCGAAAAUCCUUACAUUCAAAAUAUAUCCAGGAUCCAUUCACUUCAUGUCUUGCUGUAGACUUCUCUCUGAUCUCACCACUUGGAACUAGCAACCUUAAUGUCUUUUCUGCAGACAGCCACAGAGCACUACAGGAGUUGAAGAAGAGUUCACAGUGUAUCCAGAUCUCCCACUGGCACCCAGGGAAAGAGUGGAGCAGGCAUAUGAUACGAUGUGAUGUGGUCCGGAGACCAGGACCUGGACCAGAG